UGGGGAAUUUUGGACAAUGGGCGAAAGCCUGAUCCAGCAAUGCCGCGUGUGUGAAGAAGGCCUUCGGGUUGUAAAGCACUUUUGUCCGGAAAGAAAUCCUUGGCUCUAAUACAGUCGGGGGAUGACGGUACCGGAAGAAUAAGCACCGGCUAACUACGUGCCAGCAGCCGCGGUAAUACGUAGGGUGCAAGCGUUAAUCGGAAUUACUGGGCGUAAAGCGUGCGCAGGCGGUUUGCUAAGACCGAUGUGAAAUCCCCGGGCUCAACCUGGGAACUGCAUUGGUGACUGGCAGGCUAGAGUAUGGCAGAGGGGGGUAGAAUUCCACGUGUAGCAGUGAAAUGCGUAGAGAUGUGGAGGAAUACCGAUGGCGAAGGCAGCCCCCUGGGCCAAUACUGACGCUCAUGCACGAAAGCGUGGGGAGCAAAACAGGAUUAGAUACCCUGGUAGUCCACGCCCUAAACGAUGUCAACUAGUUGUUGGGGAUUCAUUUCCUUAGUAACGUAGCUAACGCGUGAAGUUGACCGCCUGGGGAGUACGGUCGCAAGAUUAAAACUAAAUGAAUUGACGGGGUCAUAGCUGUUUCCU
RNAcentral lists this ribosomal RNA (585 nucleotides) under uncultured bacterium. Its description in RNAcentral is "partial 16S ribosomal RNA". It matches the Rfam family "Bacterial small subunit ribosomal RNA", at positions 355 to 1375 of the family's 1533-position model. The record is from RNAcentral.